This 250-nucleotide ribosomal RNA is filed under the name uncultured bacterium. RNAcentral describes it as "partial 16S ribosomal RNA". It matches the Rfam family "Bacterial small subunit ribosomal RNA", at positions 524 to 774 of the family's 1533-position model. The record is from RNAcentral.
UACGGAGGGGACUAGCGUUGUUCGGAAUUACUGGGCGUAAAGCGCACGUAGGCGGAUUGGAAAGUUAGAGGUGAAUCCCGGGGCUCAACCCCGGAACUGCCUUUAAAACUCCCAGUCUUGAGUUCGAGAGAGGUGAGUGGAAUUCCGAGUGUAGAGGUGAAAUUCGUAGAUAUUCGGAGGAACACCAGUGGCGAAGGCGGCUCACUGGCUCGAUACUGACGCUGAGGUGCGAAAGCGUGGGGAGCAAACA